This 253-nucleotide unclassified non-coding RNA is filed under the name Anthostomelloides leucospermi. RNAcentral's name for it is "partial contains 5.8S ribosomal RNA, internal transcribed spacer 2, and large subunit ribosomal RNA". Lineage: Eukaryota; Fungi; Ascomycota; Sordariomycetes; Xylariales. The record is from RNAcentral.
CGCACAUUGCGCCCAUUAGUAUUCUAGUGAGCAUGCCUAUUCGAGCGUCAUUUCAACCCUUAAGCAACCGUUGCUUAGCGUUGGGAACCUACCGUUCAGACGGUAGCUCCCUAAAAUUAGUGGCAGAGUUGCAGCGUACUCUAGGCGUAGUAGUGAUACCCUCGCCUCUGAAGUAGCUUUAAUUUCUAGCCGUUAAACCCCUAAAUUUAUAGUGGUUGACCUCGGAUUAGGUAGGAAUACCCGCUGAACUUAA